CUCAUAGCGUAUAUUUAAGUUGUUGCAGUUAAAAAGCUCGUAGUUGGAUUUCGGGUGUGAGGCGCCGGUCCGCUUCGGUGUGCACUGGCGGCCCAGGCCUUCUUGUCGGGGACGCGCUCUGGCUUUCACUAGUCGGACGCGGAGUCGGCGCAGUUACUUUGAAAAAAUUAGAGUGUUCAAAGCAGGCUUUCGCUUGAAUACAUUAGCAUGGAAUAACAUGAUAGGACUCCGAUCCCAUUGUGUUGGUCUUCGGGACUGGAGUAAUGAUUAAGAGGGACAGUUGGGGGCAUUCGUACUUCAUUGUCAGAGGUGAAAUUCUUGGAUUUAUGAAAGACGAACUUCUGCGAAAGCAUUUGCCAAGGAUGUUUUCAUUAAUCAAGAACGAAAGUUGGGGGCUCGAAGAUGAUUAGAUACCAUCGUAGUCUCAACCAUAAACGAUGCCGACUAGGGAUUGGCGGAUGUUACUUGAUGACUUCGCCAGCACCUUGUGAGAAAUCAAAGUCUUUGGGUUCCGGGGGGAGUAUGGUCGCAAGGCUGAAACUUAAAGGAAUUGACGGAAGGGCACCACCAUGGCGUGGAGCCUGCGGCUUAAUUUGACUCAACACGGGGAAACUUACCAGGUCCAGACACAGUGAUGAUUGACAGAUUGAGAGCUCUUUCUUGAUUCUGUGGGUGGUGGUGCAUGGCCGUUCUUAGUUGGUGGAUUGAUUUGUCUGGUUAAU
Molecule: ribosomal RNA, 722 nt
Filed under: uncultured eukaryote
Lineage: Eukaryota
Description: SSU rRNA
Rfam family: Eukaryotic small subunit ribosomal RNA
Source: RNAcentral